This 917-nucleotide ribosomal RNA is filed under the name uncultured bacterium. RNAcentral's name for it is "bacterial SSU rRNA". It matches the Rfam family "Bacterial small subunit ribosomal RNA", at positions 9 to 939 of the family's 1533-position model. The record is from RNAcentral.
GAGUUUGAUCCUGGCUCAGAACCAACGCUAGCGGCGUGCCUCAGACAUGCAAGUCGAACGCGAACGUUUCCUUCGGGAAACUAUUAGAGUGGCGCACGGGUGAGUAACACGUAAGUAAUCUACCUUUGGGUGGGGAAUAACAGUCGGAAACGGCUGCUAAUACCGCAUAAUGCAGCGGCUCCGUAUGGAGACAGUUGUUAAAGAAUUUAUUCGCCUAAAGAGGAGCUUGCGGUAGAUUAGCCAGUUGGUGAGGUAAUGGCUCACCAAGGCAACGAUCUAUAGCCGACCUGAGAGGGUGGUCGGUCACACUGACACUGAAUAACGGGUCAGACUCCUACGGGAGGCAGCAGUCGGGAAUUUUGGGCAAUGGGCGAAAGCCUGACCCAGCAACGCCGCGUGAAGGAUGAAGUAUUUCGGUAUGUAAACUUCGUAAAAAUGGGAAGAAUCAAUGACGGUACCAUUUGUAAGGUCCGGCUAACUACGUGCCAGCAGCCGCGGUAAUACGUAGGGACCAAGCGUUGUUCGGAUUUACUGGGCGUAAAGGGUGCGUAGGCGGUUUAUCAAGUCAGUUGUGAAAUCUUAAGGCUUAACCUUAAGCGGUCAACUGAAACUGAUAGACUAGAGUGCAGAAGGGGCAAUCGGAAUUCUUGGUGUAGCGGUGAAAUGCGUAGAUAUCAAGAGGGACACCUGAGGCGAAGGCGGGUUGCUAAGCUGACACUGACGCUGAGGCACGAAAGCUAGGGGAGCGAACGGGAUUAGAUACCCCGGUAGUCCUAGCCCUAAACGAUGAAUACUUGGUGUCUGGAGUUUUAAUUCUCCGGGUGCCGUAGCUACGUGUUAAGUAUUCCGCCUGGGGAGUACGUACGCAGUAAUGAAACUCAAAGGAAUUGACGGGGACCCGCACAAGCGGUGGAGCA